Molecule: ribosomal RNA, 440 nt
Filed under: uncultured bacterium
Lineage: Bacteria
Description: partial 16S ribosomal RNA
Rfam family: Bacterial small subunit ribosomal RNA
Source: RNAcentral
CCUACGGGGUGCAGCAGUGGGGAAUAUUGGACAAUGGGGGGAACCCUGAUCCAGUGACGCCGCGUGAGUGAAGAAGUAUUUCGGUAUGUAAAGCUCUAUCAGCAGGGAAGAAAAUGACGGUACCUGACUAAGAAGCCCCGGCUAACUACGUGCCAGCAGCCGCGGUAAUACGUAGGGGGCAAGCGUUAUCCGGAUUUACUGGGUGUAAAGGGAGCGUAGACGGUGCAGCAAGUCUGAUGUGAAAGGUCGGGGCCCAACCCCGGGACUGCAUUGGAAACUGUUGAACUGGAGUACAGGAGAGGUAAGCGGAAUUCCUAGUGUAGCGGUGAAAUGCAUAGAUAUCACGCAGAACUCCGAGCGCGAAGGCAGCCUACCGGCGCACAACUGACGCUCAUGCACGAAAGCGUGGGUAUCGAACAGGAUUAGAUACCCCAGUAGUC